GACGAACGCUGGCGGCGUGCUUCAUACAUGCAAGUCGAACGAGGUCCAACUGGUAGCAAUACCGGUGAAGACCUAGUGGCGAACGGGUGAGUAACACGUGAGGAACCUGCCCCGAAGACCGGGAUAACAGUGGGAAACCGCUGCUAAUACCGGAUACCCCCACCGGAUCGCAUGGUCUGGUGAGGAAAUGGAUUCCGCUUCGGGAGGGCCUCGCGGCCUAUCAGCUUGUUGGUGGGGUAANGGCCUACCAAGGCGACGACGGGUAGCUGGUCUGAGAGGACGAUCAGCCACACUGGGACUGAGACACGGCCCAGACUCCUACGGGAGGCAGCAGUAGGAAUCUUGCGCAAUGGGCGAAAGCCUGACGCAGCAACGCCGCGUGAGGGAUGAAUG
RNAcentral lists this ribosomal RNA (393 nucleotides) under uncultured bacterium. RNAcentral's name for it is "bacterial SSU rRNA". It matches the Rfam family "Bacterial small subunit ribosomal RNA", at positions 28 to 414 of the family's 1533-position model. The record is from RNAcentral.